UUUUUAGUGUAAUUAUGUCCCAUGUGAUAUUUGGGACAGAUUUAUACUAAAA
RNAcentral lists this microRNA precursor (52 nucleotides) under Canis lupus familiaris (dog). RNAcentral's name for it is "mir-1302 microRNA precursor family". It matches the Rfam family "mir-1302 microRNA precursor family". Lineage: Eukaryota; Metazoa; Chordata; Mammalia; Carnivora; Canidae. The record is from Rfam by way of RNAcentral. RNAcentral also lists the same sequence under 2 other names.